GAAGUCGCAGGUCUUCCCGCCUGUCAUGAACACACCAAGCAGACCUGUCAGGAGCUUCCAGCCCAGUGCUCUCAUCUCCAACUGCUCACCAGCAGCCAGGGCCAAGGGAGGAAGAAAGAGGCUGGCAAACAUUUCAUGCAACUGGUAAGCUUUUCUUCUUUUCUUUUUACUGGUUUAGGCCAAAGUAUUUUUCUCCCAAUUUUUUAGGGAACUGAUUAUGCACUGACUUGAGAAUAUUUUGUUUCAGUGUCAGAAAACAUCUUAAGUAGACAGUAAUGAAAUCUCCAGAGCAUGAAGGAAACCCAAGUUAAGCAACUUGGAAUGGACUGCAGUCUUGAUGAAGAAUCUGAGUCUCAAGUAUAGAAGUAUAGUAGUCCAUUAUUCAGUGACAACAACAAACCACUUGUUUGUUUCAUCCCAGCUGCCAUUCCAUGCAAUAUU
Molecule: long non-coding RNA, 441 nt
Organism: Vidua macroura (Pin-tailed whydah)
Lineage: Eukaryota; Metazoa; Chordata; Aves; Passeriformes; Viduidae
Exons: 3
Source: RefSeq, a predicted model, not a curated record